RNAcentral lists this ribosomal RNA (497 nucleotides) under uncultured bacterium. RNAcentral describes it as "partial 16S ribosomal RNA". It matches the Rfam family "Bacterial small subunit ribosomal RNA", at positions 28 to 507 of the family's 1533-position model. The record is from RNAcentral.
GAUGAACGCUGGCGGCGUGCCUAAUACAUGCAAGUCGAGCGAACAGAUAAGGAGCUUGCUCCUUUGACGUUAGCGGCGGACGGGUGAGUAACACGUGGGUAACCUACCUAUAGGACUGGAAUAACUCCGGGAAACCGGGGCUAAUGCCGGAUAACAUUUAGAACCGCAUGGUUCUAAAGUGAAAGAUGGUUUUGCUAUCACUUAUAGAUGGACCCGCGCCGUAUUAGCUAGUUGGUAAGGUAACGGCUUACCAAGGCAACGAUACGUAGCCGACCUGAGAGGGGGAUCGGCCACACUGGAACUGAGACACGGUCCAGACUCCUACGGGAGGCAGCAGUAGGGAAUCUUCCGAAAUGGGCGAAAGCCUGACGGAGCAACGCCGCGUGAGUGAUGAAGGUCUUCGGAUCGUAAAACUCUGUUAUUAGGGAAGAACAAAUGUGUAAGUAACUGUGCACGUCUUGACGGUACCUAAUCAGAAAGCCACGGCUAACUACGUG